RNAcentral lists this ribosomal RNA (468 nucleotides) under uncultured bacterium. RNAcentral describes it as "partial 16S ribosomal RNA". It matches the Rfam family "Bacterial small subunit ribosomal RNA", at positions 28 to 507 of the family's 1533-position model. The record is from RNAcentral.
GACGAACGCUGGCGGCGUGCUUAACACAUGCAAGUCGAACGGAAAGGCCCUGCUUUUGUGGGGUGCUCGAGUGGCGAACGGGUGAGUAACACGUGAGUAACCUGCCCUUGACUUUGGGAUAACUUCAGGAAACUGGGGCUAAUACCGGAUAGGAGCGCCUGCUGCAUGGUGGGGGUUGGAAAGUUUCGGCGGUUGGGGAUGGACUCGCGGCUUAUCAGCUUGUCGGUGGGGUAGUGGCUUACCAAGGCUUUGACGGGUAGCCGGCCUGAGAGGGUGACCGGCCACAUUGGGACUGAGAUACGGCCCAGACUCCUACGGGAGGCAGCAGUGGGGAAUAUUGCACAAUGGGCGGAAGCCUGAUGCAGCAACGCCGCGUGCGGGAUGACGGCCUUCGGGUUGUAAACCGCUUUCGCCUGUGACGAAGCGUGAGUGACGGUAAUGGGUAAAGAAGCACCGGCUAACUACGUG